ACGCUAUCACUCCUACGGGAGGCAGCAGUGGGGAAUAUUGCACAAUGGGCGCAAGCCUGAUGCAGCCAUGCCGCGUGUAUGAAGAAGGCCUUCGGGUUGUAAAGUACUUUCAGCAGUGAGGAAGGUGGGUAUGUUAAUAGCAUAUUCAUUUGACGUUAGCUGCAGAAGAAGCACCGGCUAACUACGUGCCAGCAGCCGCGGUAAUACGUAGGGUGCAAGCGUUGUCCGGAUUUAUUGGGUUUAAAGGGUGCGUAGGCGGGCUAUUAAGUCAGUGGUGAAAUCCAGCAGCUUAACUGUUGAUGUGCCAUUGAUACUGGUAGUCUUGAGUACAGAUGAGGUAGGCGGAAUUGACAGUGUAGCGGUGAAAUGCAUAGAUAUUGUCAAGAACUCCGAUAGCGAAGGCAGCUUACUGGGCUGUAACUGACGCUGAUGCACGAAAGUGUGGGGAUCAAACAGGAUUAGAUACCCUGGUAG
RNAcentral lists this ribosomal RNA (474 nucleotides) under uncultured bacterium. Its description in RNAcentral is "bacterial SSU rRNA". It matches the Rfam family "Bacterial small subunit ribosomal RNA", at positions 326 to 793 of the family's 1533-position model. The record is from RNAcentral.